UGGGGAAUAUUGGACAAUGCGGGCAACCGUGAUCCAGCAAUGCCGCGUGAGUGAUGAAGGCCUUAGGGUUGUAAAGCUCUUUUACCAGGGAUGAUAAUGACAGUACCUGGAGAAUAAGCUCCGGCUAACUCCGUGCCAGCAGCCGCGGUAAUACGGAGGGAGCUAGCGUUGUUCGGAAUUACUGGGGGUAAAGCGCGCGUAGGCGGCUAUUCAAGUCAGGGGCGAGCAACUGAAACUGAUGAACUAGAGUGCGGGAGGGGUAGAGGGAAUUCCCAGUGUAGCGGUGAAAUGCGUAGAUAUUGGGAAGAACACCAGUGGCGAAGGCGCUCUACUGGGCUGCAACUGACGCUGAGGGACGAAAGCUAGGGGAGCGAAAGGGAUUAGAUACCCCCGUAGUCC
Molecule: ribosomal RNA, 399 nt
Filed under: uncultured prokaryote
Description: bacterial SSU rRNA
Rfam family: Bacterial small subunit ribosomal RNA
Source: RNAcentral